Molecule: ribosomal RNA, 748 nt
Filed under: marine sediment metagenome
Description: bacterial SSU rRNA
Rfam family: Bacterial small subunit ribosomal RNA
Source: RNAcentral
AGCAAAUCGGAUUAGAUACCCGAGUAGUCCACGCCCUAAACGGUGGAUGCUAGGUGUGGGAGGUGUCGACCCCCCCCGUGCCGCAGCUAACGCUUUAAGCAUCCCGCCUGGGGAGUACAACCGCAAGGUUAAAACUCAAAGGAAUUGACGGGGGGCCCGCACAAGCGGCGGAGCGUGUGGUUUAAUUCGAUGCAACGCGAAGAACCUUACCAGGGCUUGACAUAUUAGUGGUACUGAUCAGAAACGUGAAGGACCCUUCGGGGAGCUAAUACAGGUGCUGCAUGGCUGUCGUCAGCUCGUGCCGUGAGGUGUUGGGUUAAGUCCCGCAACGAGCGCAACCCUCGCCGUUAGUUAAAUAUCUCUAACGGGACCGCUGGGAUAAACCCAGAGGAAGGUGGGGAUGACGUCAAGUCAGCAUGGCCCUUACGCCCUGGGCUACACACACGCUACAAUGGCCGGUACAGUGGGCUGCCAAGGCGCGAGCCGGAGCUAAUCCCCCAAAGCCGGCCCCAGUUCAGAUUGCAGGCUGCAACUCGCCUGCAUGAAGGCGGAGUCGCUAGUAACCGCAGGUCAGCAAUACUGCGGUGAAUACGUUCCCGGGCCUUGUACACACCGCCCGUCACGUCAUGGAAGCCGGCAGCACCUGAAGCCGUUGAGCCAACGCGUUUUACGCGGGGCAGGCGCCUAGGGUGAGGCUGGUAACUGGGACGAAGUCGUAACAAGGUAGCCGUACGGGAACGUGCGGCUG